Molecule: transfer RNA, 99 nt
Filed under: Lactococcus garvieae
Lineage: Bacteria; Bacillati; Bacillota; Bacilli; Lactobacillales; Streptococcaceae
Description: tRNA-OTHER
Rfam family: tRNA
About the family: Transfer RNA (tRNA) molecules are approximately 80 nucleotides in length.
Source: RNAcentral
GCGCUUAUAGUCUAAUAGUUUUUAUUCAUUUUUCCUAAGGUAAGACACUUGUAUGAGGUGAAUAUACAAGUAUUGUAGGUUCGAUUCCUGCUAAGCGCU